Molecule: ribosomal RNA, 426 nt
Filed under: uncultured bacterium
Lineage: Bacteria
Description: partial 16S ribosomal RNA
Rfam family: Bacterial small subunit ribosomal RNA
Source: RNAcentral
GUGAGGAAUUUUCCGCAAUGGGCGAAAGCCUGACGGAGCAAUGCCGCGUGAAGGAUGAAGGCCUAUGGGUUGUAAACUUCUUUUCUCAGAAAAGAAUUAUGACGGUAUCUGAGGAAUAAGCAUCGGCUAACUCUGUGCCAGCAGCCGCGGUAAGACAGAGGAUGCAAGCGUUAUCCGGAAUGAAUGGGCGUAAAGAGUCUGUAGGUUGUUUAAAAAGUAUUCUGUCAAAGAUCAGGGCUUAACAAUAGAUAGGCAGAAUAAACUUUUAAGCUAGAGUUUGUGAGAGGAAGAGGGAAUUCCCGGUGGAGCGGUGAAAUGCGUAGAUAUCGGGAGGAACACCAAAGGCGAAGGCACUCUGCUGGGCCAAUACUAACACUGAGAGACGAAAGCGAGGGGAGCAAAUGGGAUUAGAAACCCUAGUAGUCC